CCUACGGGGGGCAGCAGUGAGGAAUAUUGGUCAAUGGUCGGGAGACUGAACCAGCCAAGCCGCGUGAGGGAGGAAGGUACAGAGUAUCGUAAACCUCUUUUGUCAGGGAACAAAGGCGGGGACGUGUCCCCGGAUGAGUGUACCUGAAGAAAAAGCAUCGGCUAACUCCGUGCCAGCAGCCGCGGUAAUACGGAGGAUGCGAGCGUUAUCCGGAUUUAUUGGGGUUAAAGGGUGCGCAGGCGGUCUGUUAAGUCAGCGGUCAAAGCCCGGGGCUCAACCCCGGCCCGCCGUUGAAACUGGCAGUCGCGAGUUGGAGAGAAGUAGGCGGAAUGCGCGGUGUAGCGGUGAAAUGCAUAGAUAUCGCGCAGAACUCCGAUUGCGAAGGCAGCAUGCCGGCUCCACACUGACGCUGAGGCACGAAAGCGUGGGUAUCGAACAGGAUUAGAUACCCGUAUAGUC
RNAcentral lists this ribosomal RNA (459 nucleotides) under uncultured bacterium. Its description in RNAcentral is "partial 16S ribosomal RNA". It matches the Rfam family "Bacterial small subunit ribosomal RNA", at positions 338 to 795 of the family's 1533-position model. The record is from RNAcentral.